RNAcentral lists this ribosomal RNA (683 nucleotides) under Rhynchocorys maxima. RNAcentral's name for it is "eukaryotic LSU rRNA". The stretch from base 290 to 445 matches the Rfam family "5.8S ribosomal RNA". The record is from RNAcentral. Lineage: Eukaryota; Viridiplantae; Streptophyta; Magnoliopsida; Lamiales; Orobanchaceae.
AGAGGAAGGAAGUCGUAACAAGGUUUCCGUAGGUGAACCUGCGGAAGGAUCAUUGUCGAAACCUGCAAAAGCAGACCGCGAACUUGUCAAACCACUCGGGAUCGAGACGCGAGGGAAACCUCGUGUCGAGUCCCCCUCCCUUGUGCUUGCGUUUGAUUUCAUUCGCUUGUACCAUGGGCUAACGAACCCCGGCGCGGCAUGCGCCAAGGAAUACUCAAAGAAGCGUCCUCCUUCAUCACCCCGUUCUCGGUGCGCGAUGGGGGCAGGCACGUCUCUAUAAAGUCUAAACGACUCUCGGCAACGGAUAUCUCGGCUCUCGCAUCGAUGAAGAACGUAGCGAAAUGCGAUACUUGGUGUGAAUUGCAGAAUCCCGUGAACCAUCGAGUCUUUGAACGCAAGUUGCGCCUGAAGCCAUUCGGUUGAAGGCACGUCUGCCUGGGCGUCACGCAUCGCGUCGCACCCAAUCCAAUUGCCCUUCGGGAUGAUUGAGAUUCGGGGCGGAUAUUGGUCCCCCGUGUGCGCACAAGUGCGCGGUCGGCCUAAAUGCGAACCUGCGGCGACUCGCGUCACGACCGGUGGUGGUUGAUAACUCAACUUUCGUUUUGUCGUGCCGAACGUAGUCGCAUGUUGGGCGUCAUUGUUAACCCAAUGGCUCGAUCAACAACUCGAGCUUUCGACCGCGA